GGAGGGGGAUACACUCGGAACGAAUGCUAAUACCCCAUAUGCUUUUGAGUGAAAUGGAUUUAUCCGCCUAAAGAGAAGCUCGCGGCUGAUUAGCUUGUUGGUAAGGUAAGAGCUUACCAAGGCGACGAUCAGUAUCUGGUUUGAGAGGACGAUCAGACACACUGGAACUGAGACACGGUCCAGACUCCUACGGGAGGCAGCAGUGGGGAAUUUUCCGCAAUGGGCGAAAGCCUGACGGAGCAAUACCGCGUGAGGGAAGACUGCCUAUGGGUUGUAAACCUCUUUUUUCAGGGAGGAAUAAAAUGACGUGUACCUGAAGAAUAAGCAUCGGCUAACUCCGUGCCAGCAGCCGCGGUAAGACGGAGGAUGCAAGUGUUAUCCGGAAUCACUGGGCGUAAAGCGUCUGUAGGUGGUUUAAUAAGUCAACUGUUAAAUCUUGAGGCUCAACUUCAAAAUCGCAGUCGAAACUAUUAGACUAGAGUAUAGUAGAGGUAAAGGGAAUUUCCAGUGGAGCGGUGAAAUGCGUAGAUAUUGGAAAGAACACCGAUGGCGAAAGCACUUUACUGGGCUAUUACUAACACUCAGAGACGAAAGCUAGGGUAGC
This 604-nucleotide ribosomal RNA is filed under the name uncultured eukaryote. RNAcentral describes it as "bacterial SSU rRNA". It matches the Rfam family "Bacterial small subunit ribosomal RNA", at positions 135 to 769 of the family's 1533-position model. The record is from RNAcentral.